AGCCAUUAGAUGAUAUUAUAUGGUUUUACCUGCCCAAUGUUAUAUAUGAAUGGCCGCGGUACUCUGACCGUGCUAAGGUAGCGUAAUCAGUUGACCUUUAAAUGAGGUCAGGAAUGAAUGGAAUAACCGGGUUUAGCUGUCUCUAAAAUAUUAUUUUGAAUUUACUAUCUAAGUGAAAAAGCUUAGGGUUAAAAAAGGGAGGAGAAGACCCUUAGAAUUUUUUUUAAAAGGAAUUAAGUUUUCCUUACAGUUUUAUUGGGGCGAUAAAGAAAUAAUUAAAACUUUCUUUUUUUACAUGCCGACUAUGUUAAGUGAGAAUAAAUUACCUGAGGGAUAACAGCAUAAUUUUAUAAAUGAGUUUGUGACCUCGAUGUUGGACUAGGAAACCGGCAGGCUAGCCGUUUGUCGUGUUAGGUU
Molecule: ribosomal RNA, 417 nt
Filed under: Spurilla dupontae
Lineage: Eukaryota; Metazoa; Mollusca; Gastropoda; Nudibranchia; Aeolidiidae
Description: partial 16S ribosomal RNA
Rfam family: Bacterial large subunit ribosomal RNA
Source: RNAcentral